RNAcentral lists this ribosomal RNA (253 nucleotides) under uncultured bacterium. RNAcentral describes it as "partial 16S ribosomal RNA". It matches the Rfam family "Bacterial small subunit ribosomal RNA", at positions 524 to 776 of the family's 1533-position model. The record is from RNAcentral.
GACAGAGGGUGCAAACGUUGUUCGGAAUUACUGGGCGUAAAGCGAGUGUAGGCGGUCUUAAAAGUCAGGUGUGAAAGCCCCGGGCUCAACCCGGGAAGUGCACUUGAAACUGCAAGGCUAGAGUACUGGAGAGGUUGGUGGAAUUCUCGGUGUAGAGGUGAAAUUCGUAGAUAUCGGGAAGAACACCCGUGGCGAAGGCGGCUCUCUGGGACGGUACUGACGCUGAGACGCGAAAGCGUGGGGAGCGAACAGG